UCAGUGGUUAGUUCAGUGGUAGAACACCACCUUGCCAAGGUGGGGGUCGCGGGUUCGAAUCCCGUCGUUCGC
This 72-nucleotide transfer RNA is filed under the name Streptococcus cristatus. Its description in RNAcentral is "tRNA-Gly". The stretch from base 9 to 65 matches the Rfam family "tRNA", at positions 8 to 63 of the family's 71-position model. From Rfam's summary of the family: Transfer RNA (tRNA) molecules are approximately 80 nucleotides in length. Their secondary structure includes four short double-helical elements and three loops (D, anti-codon, and T loops). The record is from RNAcentral. Lineage: Bacteria; Bacillati; Bacillota; Bacilli; Lactobacillales; Streptococcaceae.